AGAGUUUGAUCCUGGCUCAGAAUCAACGCUGGCGGCGCGCCUAACACAUGCAAGUCGAACGAGAAAGUGGAGCAAUCCAUGAGUAAAGUGGCGUACGGGUGAGUAACACGUGGAUUAUCUGCCCUUUUGUGGGGAAUACCGCUGGGAAACCGGCGACAAUACCGCAUAAGCCCGAGAGGGGAAAGCAGCAAUGCGCAGAAGGAGGAGUCCGCGGUCGAUUAGUUAGUUGGCGGGGUAAAGGCCCACCAAGACUGUGAUCGAUAGCCGGCCUGAGAGGGCACACGGCCACACUGGCACUGAAACACGGGCCAGACUCCUACGGGAGGCAGCAGUGGGGAAUCUUGCACAAUGGGGGAAACCCUGAUGCAGCGACGCCGCGUGAGCGAUGAAGCCCCUCGGGGUGUAAAGCUCUUUCGGCAGGGAAGAUUAUGACGGUACCUGCAAAAGCAGCUGCGGCUAACUACGUGCCAGCAGCCGCGGUAAUACGUAGGCAGCAAGCGUUG
This 503-nucleotide ribosomal RNA is filed under the name uncultured Terriglobales bacterium. RNAcentral's name for it is "bacterial SSU rRNA". It matches the Rfam family "Bacterial small subunit ribosomal RNA", at positions 8 to 543 of the family's 1533-position model. The record is from RNAcentral. Lineage: Bacteria; Pseudomonadati; Acidobacteriota; Terriglobia; Terriglobales.